CAGACAUUUGAAGAACCUUAAUGGGAUUUCAAGUUUAUUUUCUUCUAAUGGAGAAGAGAAAAAGAAGCUGAAGUGUCUAACGCUACCAGGAAGUGCCCAUCCACAAACGUGAAGUAAUAAGGAAAAGGAAAACAUGGGAAACAGAUUGCCCUGGGGAAUAGAGUGAUUUCCAGGAAGCUUGAAGACAAACGUGUGGUCCACCCAUUGCACGUACCUAAGCUGCCAUGUAUGCAUUUUUGUACUAGACUCUUCUCCAGUACGUUUAUAUCCCUAUU
Long non-coding RNA from Hyaena hyaena (striped hyena), 275 nucleotides. RefSeq lists it as uncharacterized. NCBI's taxonomy places the organism in Eukaryota, Metazoa, Chordata, Mammalia, Carnivora, Hyaenidae. The record is from RefSeq and is a predicted model, not a curated record. The transcript has 3 exons.